Molecule: ribosomal RNA, 459 nt
Filed under: Triticum aestivum (bread wheat)
Lineage: Eukaryota; Viridiplantae; Streptophyta; Magnoliopsida; Poales; Poaceae
Description: partial small subunit ribosomal RNA
Source: RNAcentral
AUGGUUGUCACCCUGUGGUCCAUAUGGUUUGCUAGAAGCAAGGCAAUCUAUGAGUCCAUCUUCCAAAGUCCACAGCAAACAAUCUCCUUUAUAAACAAUUUUAUAGCAGAAUUGUCACAGUUAACAGCGAGCCAUUCUCGCCGAGGUCCAGCCCAUGCUGCACCAGCACCAGAAAAGAGAUGGCUACCGCCACCAGCGGGGACUGUGAAGCUUAAUGCAGAUGGAGUAGUCGCCAGGUCCCGCCGUGGGGGAGCAGUCGCGGCGAUUUGCCGUGACCAAACUGGUAAUUAUCUGGGUUCUUCGGUGGUAGUCUUCCAAGGUAUAGAUGAUCCACUUAUCUUGGAAACAUAUUCUUGCCGAGAAGCAUUAUCACUCGCAUACAAUCUUGGAGAACCAAAUAUUAGCCAAGGAGUGGUGAACGACGUCAACAACGGGACAGGAGGUCCAGUGCUGCUAUAG